AUUGAACGCUGGCGGCAGGCUUAACACAUGCAAGUCGAGCGGGGUGAUGGUGCUUGCACUAUCACUUAGCGGCGGACGGGUGAGUAAUGCUUAGGAAUCUGCCUAUUAGUGGGGGACAACAUCUCGAAAGGGAUGCUAAUACCGCAUACGUCCUACGGGAGAAAGGAGGGGAUCACUUGUGACCUUGCGCUAAUAGAUGAGCCUAGGGCGGAUUAGCUAGUUGGUGGGGUAAAGGCCUACCAAGGCGACGAUCUGUAGCGGGUCUGAGAGGAUGAUCGGCCACACUGGGAGUGAGACACGGCCCAGACUCCUACGGGAGGCAGCAGUGGGGAAUAUUGGACAAUGGGGGGAACCCUGAUCCAGCCAUGCCGCGUGUGUGAAGAAGGCCUUAUGGUUGUAAAGCACUUUAAGCGAGGAGGAGGCUCUUUUGGUUAAUACCCAAGAUGAGUGGACGUUACUCGCAGAAUAAGCACCGGCUAACUCUGUGCCAGCAGCCGCCGUAA
Molecule: ribosomal RNA, 503 nt
Filed under: uncultured bacterium
Lineage: Bacteria
Description: partial 16S ribosomal RNA
Rfam family: Bacterial small subunit ribosomal RNA
Source: RNAcentral